RNAcentral lists this long non-coding RNA (504 nucleotides) under Equus caballus (horse). RNAcentral's name for it is "lncRNA (ENSECAG00000044974.1)". The record is from RNAcentral. Lineage: Eukaryota; Metazoa; Chordata; Mammalia; Perissodactyla; Equidae.
AUGCCAAUCUGCAACUGGGUAGUCUAAAGCUGUCAUUAAGGCAUAACAUUAGAAAUAUUUCCUGAGAAAUAUGAGUUGGAAUGAAGGUCUCCUUUCUUGUCAUGGCAACAGGAGAACUCAUCUUAGGAAUACUGGGAAAUGGGUUCAUUGGACUGGUAAACUGCAUCGAAUGGGUCAAGAAUGGGAAGGUCUCAUCAGCUGAUUUCAUCCUUACCAGCUUGCACUGCAAACUGAAGCUGAACAACUUGAUAUAAAAUUAAGAGAGAUUGCCACAACAGCCAACGUUUAGAAAAUCUUGGUGCCUGUUGCUGAGUAAGCCAUUCAGAAAGUUUACCGAUCAUUUGACGACAUCAUAGAGGCAUUUCAAACUACAAAAGAUGCUUUGACAAUGACAUCUAGAAAUCUUCUUGAUUGGCUACCCCCUAGAAUCAGAAACUGGUUUAUAAUUUGCUGCAACCAUUAACCAUUCUUUUUCUUGAUUUCCAUAGAAAUGACUCAUUAAAU